RNAcentral lists this ribosomal RNA (846 nucleotides) under Clostridioides difficile. RNAcentral's name for it is "bacterial SSU rRNA". It matches the Rfam family "Bacterial small subunit ribosomal RNA", at positions 296 to 1161 of the family's 1533-position model. Lineage: Bacteria; Bacillati; Bacillota; Clostridia; Peptostreptococcales; Peptostreptococcaceae. The record is from RNAcentral.
GAGGGUGAUCGGCCACAUUGGAACUGAGACACGGUCCAAACUCCUACGGGAGGCAGCAGUGGGGAAUAUUGCACAAUGGGCGAAAGCCUGAUGCAGCAACGCCGCGUGAGUGAUGAAGGCCUUCGGGUCGUAAAACUCUGUCCUCAAGGAAGAUAAUGACGGUACUUGAGGAGGAAGCCCCGGCUAACUACGUGCCAGCAGCCGCGGUAAUACGUAGGGGGCUAGCGUUAUCCGGAUUUACUCGGCGUAAAGGGUGCGUCGGCGGUCCUUCAAGUCAGGAGCGAAAGGCUACGGCUCAACCGCAGUAAGCUCUUGAAACUGGGAGACUUGCGUGCCGGAGAGGAGAGUGGAAUUCCUAGUGUAGCGGUGAAAUGCGUAGAUAUUAGGAGGAACACCAGUUGCGAAGGCGGCUCUCUGGACUGUAACUGACGCUGAGGCACGAAAGCGUGGGGAGCAAACAGGAUUAGAUACCCUGGUAGUCCACGCUGUAAACGAUGAGUACUAGGUGUCGGGGGUUACCCCCCUCGGUGCCGCAGCUAACGCAUUAAGUACUCCGCCUGGGAAGUACGCUCGCAAGAGGGAAACUCAAAGGAAUUGACGGGGACCCGCACAAGUAGCGGAGCAUGUGGUUUAAUUCGAAGCAACGCGAAGAACCUUACCUAAGCUUGACAUCCCAAUGACAUCUCCUUAAUCGGAGAGUUCCCUUCGGGGACAUUGGUGACAGGUGGUGCAUGGUUGUCGUCAGCUCGUGUCGUGAGAUGUUGGGUUAAGUCCCGCAACGAGCGCAACCCUUGUCUUUAGUUGCCAUCAUUAAGUUGGGCACUCUAGAGAGACUGCCAGGGAUAA